CUGUUUAAACAAUUCAAUGGUUUCAAUUUACAGUUGUGUGGAAUGCGGAGCGGAUUUGAAUCUAAGGAACAGCCAACUCUUUCCUCCCGAUUUCUAUUUCGAGGCUGGGAACAAAGGGACUCUCUCUUUUGCUGCAAUUGAUGAAACCAAAUUCAGAUUUCAGAAAGAAGAUAAAUUAAUACCUUUCUUUGAGACUGUAAAUUACUGGGGAAUUCAAAGGAAGAGAACCAAGAUCAAGUGCAUCAGCUGUGGUCAUCUUGUUGGGAAUAUUUACGAUGAUGGUCCUCCUCUCACUGACAGUCCUGGUCAGAUGCAUAUGGGUCCAAGUCAGGUUAUUCCUAGGGCACCAAGGUACAGGCUUAAGAUCAAAGCUCUCAAGAUUAUAUCAGAAACCUAGAUUUUCUUACUGAGUUUUAGGUUUUAGUAUAUGGGUUUUAUUGCAAUUCGAUUGUUGUCCAUUUACUUUUCUUUUUCCUCCUUGAUGUAGAUAUUGGUAUAAAAUACAAAGUUUCCUGUUUCCUUAUUCAAUUGAGAUUAAUUUCAGUUUUUUCAGUUCUUGAUUUUGAGUUUUUUUGUGU
This is an RNA transcript of Telopea speciosissima, 578 nucleotides long. It is a transcript of the gene named peptide methionine sulfoxide reductase MsrB-like, with no coding region annotated. The record is from RefSeq and is a predicted model, not a curated record. Lineage: Eukaryota; Viridiplantae; Streptophyta; Magnoliopsida; Proteales; Proteaceae. The transcript is spliced from 2 exons.